CCCUUAGAUGUUCUGGGCCGCACACGCGCUACACUGAAGGAGGCAGCGUGUACUCCUGGAUCGAAAGAUUUGGGUAACCCGCGAAUCUCCUUCGUGCUAGGGAUUGAGGUUUGCAAUUAUCCUUCAUGAACGAGGAAUUCCCAGUAAGUGCAGGUCAUAAGCUUGCGCUGACUACGUCCCUGCCCUUUGUACACACCGCCCGUCGCUACUACCGAUUGAAUGAUUUAGUGAGGACUUCGGACUGGGACCGAUGCGGCUUUCGGGCUGCGUCGGUAUUCUGGAAAGAUGUCCAAACUGUAUCAUUUAGAGGAAGUAAAAGUCGUANCA
RNAcentral lists this ribosomal RNA (327 nucleotides) under uncultured eukaryote. RNAcentral's name for it is "partial 18S ribosomal RNA". It matches the Rfam family "Eukaryotic small subunit ribosomal RNA", at positions 1470 to 1796 of the family's 1831-position model. The record is from RNAcentral.